ACUCCUACGGGAGGCAGCAGUAGGGAAUUUUCGCAAUGGAGGAAACUCUGACGGAGCAAUACCGCGUGUGGGAAGAAGAUUUUCGGAUUGUAAACCACUGUUGUAAGGGAAGAACGUUAUUAGUAGGAAAUGGCUAAUAAGUGACGGUACCUUACCAGAAAGGGACGGCUAACUACGUGCCAGCAGCCGCGGUAAUACGUAGGUCCCGAGCGUUAUCCGGAAUUAUUGGGCGUAAAGGGCAC
Molecule: ribosomal RNA, 242 nt
Filed under: uncultured bacterium
Lineage: Bacteria
Description: partial 16S ribosomal RNA
Rfam family: Bacterial small subunit ribosomal RNA
Source: RNAcentral